UAUUUAUAUACUAGGCAAAAAUCUUAUACUCAGUUAAAAAAACCUACUAUUUUUCUCUAAUUUUAUUAAUUAAAUCGGUUUUUAAAUUUUCAACUAAUUUAGAUUUACUAAAACAAAUUCGUGAUUUAGCGGCAUUUACUCCGUAGCAUUUAUUUAAAUCAUACUAAUUAAUAUGUUUAACAGCAUUACAUGAUAGUUGCUACUAAAUUUAGUAAUGACACAAUAUAUAACAAAAUAGCAGCGCUUAUUGCUAAAUGCCGCGGUAUUUAUUCCCCAGCAUUUAUUUGAAUCAUACUAAUUAAUAAAUUUAACAACAUUACUUGAUAAUUGUCACUAGAUUUAAUAGUUUAGCAAUAAUUUACUAUUAAUGUUGUAAAAUAUGAUAAAUUAGCAACGUAAAUCAGUGAAUGCUAAAUGUAACAAAAUAAUAGCGCUUAUAACGAAAUGUCCUCACUAAUUAAUAUAUAAUUAUUAAUAUAUCCUAUUUUAUACUUAGAAUUAAAAAAAACCUGAAAUUAAAGUUUAAAAUUUUGAAACUUAUAAUUUUAAAAAUUAAACUUAUAAUUUAAAAUAUUAAAACUUAUAUUUAAAUUUUAAUUUUAUUUAAAAUUUAAAAAUAAAUUUAAAACUGAAAAUUUUGAAACAUAAAAUUUGAUGUUUGAAAAUUAAAAAUUUAAAUUUAGUAUCUAAAUAUAGAAUUGAAAAUUAAGAAUUUUCAAAUUUAAAAUUAAAAACUUAUAAUUUUAAAAAUUAAACUAAUAAUUUAAAAUAUUAAAAUUUAAAACUUAUAUUUAAAUUUUAAUUUCUAAAUUUUAAUUUUAUUUAAAAUUUAAAAUUAAAUUUAAAACUGAAAAUUUUGAAACAUAAAAUUUGAUGUUUGAAAAUUAAAAAUUUAAAUUUAGUAUCUAAAUAUAGAAAUUAAAAUUAAAAAUUUUAAAAUUUAAAAUUAAAAACUUAAAAUAUAAUAUAUAAAAAAAUAAAUAUAUUUAACGACUGUCUCUAGCGCAAGUGGUGAAAGGAUUGGUGGUUGAUAUGCGAGUUCCAAGUUUGAAUCCUAAUUGAAUCACAUUUUCAAAUAAGUUUAUUCUAGAAGAAAUAAAUAAAGCGGAUAGCAUGCUAUCUUUUUCUAAAAAAAAUUCAAAUUUAAAUUUAAAAAUAAAAUUAGCAUUUAAUAUUCUUUUUAGCGGCAUGUUCCUAACGACAAUAAUUGAUUUAUAUUGGCAGCAUUCAUUAUAAAUAGUGCUAAUGCUUUUAACAACAUUAGCAUAAGCAAUAUUUAGUGUCAUAUAUUGUUAAAAAUUUUAGCAGCAUUCGUUAAUCUUUUAGCAGCGUAAAUAAAAACCACUAAUGACUAAUCUUCUACUAAUGAUUUAAAUAUAUGAAUCAAAUUAAAAAUUUAAAGUAUAAGUUAAUUUUGAAUUCAUUAUUUAAAUUUAAACAGUUGUUGGUUUGGCAGUACGUAUUUUAAACCAUUCAAUUUUUUUAACAUGAUUUAUUUUUAGUUAAUUAAUUAUCUUAAUUUUUUAUAAUCUAUAUCAGAAUAUCAUUUUAUUUUAAUUAAGAUUUUCCCUGUUAACUAAAAACUUUUUAUUCGCUUUUAUAUAUAAGUAUAAGUUACUAGUGCUUUCGUUUUUUUGGCUCUUAAAUUAAAAAAUUUAAAAUUAAAAUAAUAAUAUUUCUUCUAAAAAAAUAAUAUUAAUUAAAAAUUAAAAAAAUAAUUAAAAAAUUAAAC
Molecule: long non-coding RNA, 1732 nt
Filed under: Ananas comosus (pineapple)
Lineage: Eukaryota; Viridiplantae; Streptophyta; Magnoliopsida; Poales; Bromeliaceae
Description: long non-coding RNA (ACOM_LNC013919)
Source: RNAcentral